Molecule: ribosomal RNA, 472 nt
Filed under: uncultured bacterium
Lineage: Bacteria
Description: bacterial SSU rRNA
Rfam family: Bacterial small subunit ribosomal RNA
Source: RNAcentral
AUUGAACGCUGGCGGCAUGCUUUACACAUGCAAGUCGAACGGCAGCGCGGGGGCAACCCUGGCGGCGAGUGGCGAACGGGUGAGUAAUGUAUCGGAACGUAUCCUGUAAUGGGGGAUAACCAGUCGAAAGAUUGGGUAAUACCGCAUACGCACGAGAGUGGAAAGUAGGGGAUCGCAAGACCUUACGUUAUAGGAGCGGCCGAUAUCUGAUUAGCUAGUUGGUGGGGUAAAGGCCUACCAAGGCGACGAUGCGUAGCCGACCUGAGAGGGUGAUCGGCCACAUUGGGACUGAGACACGGCCCAGACUCCUACGGGAGGCAGCAGUGGGGAAUAUUGCACAAUGGGGGAAACCCUGAUGCAGCGACGCCGCGUGAAGGAUGAAGGUCUUCGGAUUGUAAACUUCUAUCAGCAGGGAAGAAAGGGCCUAUGGCCUAUGACGGUACCUGACUAAGAAGCCCCGGCUAACUACGUG